RNAcentral lists this ribosomal RNA (484 nucleotides) under Salmonella enterica subsp. enterica. Its description in RNAcentral is "partial 23S ribosomal RNA". The stretch from base 1 to 366 matches the Rfam family "Bacterial large subunit ribosomal RNA", at positions 161 to 565 of the family's 2925-position model. Lineage: Bacteria; Pseudomonadati; Pseudomonadota; Gammaproteobacteria; Enterobacterales; Enterobacteriaceae. RNAcentral also lists the same sequence under 1 other name. The record is from RNAcentral.
AAUCCAUAGGUUAAUGAGGCGAACCGGGGGAACUGAAACAUCUAAGUACCCCGAGGAAAAGAAAUCAACCGAGAUUCCCCCAGUAGCGGCGAGCGAACGGGGAGGAGCCCAGAGCCUGAAUCAGCAUGUGUGUUAGUGGAAGCGUCUGGAAAGGCGCGCGAUACAGGGUGACAGCCCCGUACACAAAAGCGCAUGUGCUGUGAGCUCGAUGAGUAGGGCGGGACACGUGGUAUCCUGUCUGAAUAUGGGGGGACCAUCCUCCAAGGCUAAAUACUCCUGACUGACCGAUAGUGAACCAGUACCGUGAGGGAAAGGCGAAAAGAACCCCGGCGAGGGGAGUGAAAAAGAACCUGAAACCGUGUACGUACAAGCAGUGGGAGCCCCACCACCAAAGCAUUUGCUGUACCGCGUUGACGGAGCGAAGCGACGUCAAACCGAUAAAACAGCAGUGUAAAGUGAGCCGCAGGGCGCUUUGCGCGACAGC